This 359-nucleotide ribosomal RNA is filed under the name uncultured Latescibacterota bacterium. RNAcentral describes it as "bacterial SSU rRNA". It matches the Rfam family "Bacterial small subunit ribosomal RNA", at positions 1025 to 1382 of the family's 1533-position model. Lineage: Bacteria; Pseudomonadati; Candidatus Latescibacterota. The record is from RNAcentral.
GGCACCUGCACAGGUGCUGCAUGGCUGUCGUCAGCUUGUGUCGUGAGAUGUUGGGGUUAAGUCCCGCAACGAGCGCAACCCUUAUCCCCAGUUGCCAUCAGGUAAAGCUGGGAACUCUGGGGAGACUGCCGGUGAUAAACCGGAGGAAGGCGGGGAUGACGUCAAGUCCUCAUGGCCCUUACAUCCCGGGCUACACACGUGCUACAAUGGCAGGUACAGAGGGCUGCGAAGCCGCGAGGUGGAGCGAAUCCCAGAAAACCUGUCUCAGUCCGGAUUGAAGUCUGCAACUCGACUUCAUGAAGGCGGAAUCGCUAGUAACCGCGAAUCAGCAGGUCGCGGUGAAUACGUUCCCGGGCCUU